UAUAAUAUAAUAAAACUGCCGUUUGCUCUUGUUGGCAUACCGGCGUAUAAUGGAGUUUCGCGUAACUGCGUGCUUUUUAAAUUAUUCACUCAACGUGUGAGCCAGUCCAGUUCGCAACAGCGGCAAUGCCGUUCGUUGACGUUUGCGGGAUUAUGGCGGGUUGUGUGUCCUAGAUUAUUAUUAUAUUCUUGCGACCCACCCGAAUGCCGGAAACCCGAACUCUUCGAUAAGUGUUAUUGUCGGCGUACUCGGACGACCUAAUGGUUCCUCGUUAUUAUCGUACGCGCAUGCGUUUCAUUGCGAUAUUUAUUUCAUUAUAAAUUUUCGCUUCGAAUAGUGAGCGUGUUACGAAAUUUCAAAA
Molecule: unclassified non-coding RNA, 361 nt
Filed under: Archaeopsylla erinacei maura
Lineage: Eukaryota; Metazoa; Arthropoda; Insecta; Siphonaptera; Pulicidae
Description: sequence contains ITS2
Source: RNAcentral